AUUGAACGCUGGCGGCAUGCCUUACACAUGCAAGUCGAACGGCAGCACGGGAGCUUGCUCCUGGUGGCGAGUGGCGAACGGGUGAGUAAUGCAUCGGAACGUAUCUGGAAGUGGGGGAUAACGUAGCGAAAGUUACGCUAAUACCGCAUAUUCUGUGAGCAGGAAAGAGGGGGAUCGCAAGACCUCUCGCUUUCGGAGCGGCCGAUGUCGGAUUAGCUAGUUGGUGAGGUAAAAGCUCACCAAGGCGACGAUCCGUAGCGGGUCUGAGAGGAUGAUCCGCCACACUGGGACUGAGACACGGCCCAGACUCCUACGGGAGGCAGCAGUGGGGAAUUUUGGACAAUGGGCGCAAGCCUGAUCCAGCCAUGCCGCGUGAGUGAAGAAGGCCUCGGUUGUAAGCUCUUCGUCGGGAGAAGUAGCACUGUUAAUACGAGUGUAGAUGACGGUACCCGCCGACUAAGAAGACACCGGCUAACUACGUAGCC
This 485-nucleotide ribosomal RNA is filed under the name uncultured bacterium. RNAcentral's name for it is "bacterial SSU rRNA". It matches the Rfam family "Bacterial small subunit ribosomal RNA", at positions 30 to 510 of the family's 1533-position model. The record is from RNAcentral.